Molecule: ribosomal RNA, 305 nt
Filed under: uncultured bacterium
Lineage: Bacteria
Description: bacterial SSU rRNA
Rfam family: Bacterial small subunit ribosomal RNA
Source: RNAcentral
GCCUACGGGGCGCAGCAGUGAGGAAUAUUGGUCAAUGGGCGGUAGCCUGAACCAGCCAAGUAGCGUGAAGGAUGAAGGUUCUAUGGAUUGUAAACUUCUUUUAUAUGGGAAUAAAGUGAGCCACGUGUGGCUUUUUGUAUGUACCAUACGAAUAAGGAUCGGCUAACUCCGUGCCAGCAGCCGUGGUAAUACGGAGGAUCCGAGCGUUAUCCGGAUUUAUUGGGUUUAAAGGGAGCGUAGGCGGAUUAUUAAGUCAGUUGUGAAAGUUUGCGGCUCAACCGUAAAAUUGCAGUUGAUACUGGUAG